AUACGGAGGAUCCGAGCGUUAUCCGGAUUUAUUGGGUUUAAAGGGUGCGCAGGCGGCCAUUUAAGUCAGCGGUUAAAUCGUGGGGCUCAACCCCAUUCUGCCGUUGAUACUGGGUGGCUUGAUUGCGGUCGAGGUUGGCGGAAUUCGUUGUGUAGCGGUGAAAUGCAUAGACAUGACGAAGAACACCGAUUGCGUAGGCAGCUGACCAGACCGCAAAUGACGCUCAUGCACGAAAGUGCGGGGAUCGAACAGGAUUAGAUACCCUGGUAGUCCGCACAGUAAACGAUGAAUACUUGUUUUCGGCGAUAUAAUGUCGGAGGCAAAGCGAAAGCGAUAAGUAUUCCACCUGGGGAGUACGCCGGCAACGGUGAAACUCAAAUGAAUUGACGGG
RNAcentral lists this ribosomal RNA (391 nucleotides) under uncultured bacterium. Its description in RNAcentral is "partial 16S ribosomal RNA". It matches the Rfam family "Bacterial small subunit ribosomal RNA", at positions 523 to 917 of the family's 1533-position model. The record is from RNAcentral.